GGAGAGGUGUCUGAGUGGUCGAAAGAGCCUGAUUCGAAAUCAGGUGUACGGUAACCCCGUACCGUGGGUUCGAAUCCCACCCUCUCCGCCA
RNAcentral lists this transfer RNA (91 nucleotides) under Planctomycetota bacterium. RNAcentral describes it as "tRNA-Ser". It matches the Rfam family "tRNA". From Rfam's summary of the family: Transfer RNA (tRNA) molecules are approximately 80 nucleotides in length. Their secondary structure includes four short double-helical elements and three loops (D, anti-codon, and T loops). Lineage: Bacteria; Pseudomonadati; Planctomycetota. The record is from RNAcentral. RNAcentral also lists the same sequence under 2 other names.